Long non-coding RNA from Mauremys mutica (yellowpond turtle), 703 nucleotides. RefSeq lists it as uncharacterized. The record is from RefSeq and is a predicted model, not a curated record. NCBI's taxonomy places the organism in Eukaryota, Metazoa, Chordata, Testudines, Geoemydidae. The transcript has 3 exons.
CUGUAUAUAUUGCCACUGGGAAUCUAAGGACCAGCAACUCUGAUACAGGGAUGAACACAGAGUCUAGAUGAGUCAAUCUUAGAACUGCAAACUUACCAUUCAGCUGUGAACAUAAAGACAGGCUUAGAACAGAAAGCCCCAAAUCCAGACAGGUGGAAGAAUUCAGACCCAGGUGUUUUUAAGCCAUUCCAUCUGAAGAUCAGCGCUUUGAUAACAUCAGGAUUCUGAGUGUGAGACUGUCUCAUAUCCUCUCCUCUGCCUGAAGAUCAGAAGGGUGAAUGCUUCUGUUAGAUCUGCUCACCAACCCAUUCCCAUGGCAUCAGCUCAACUUACAGAGCUUGAACACUGGCUGAUGCCCUGCCCUGAAGAGGAACAGCAGCAGCAGCAGCAUGGAGCACCCUCGCAGAGUGAAUGGCUACUUCCAUAGCUGCCCACCAAACUUUCCUGACCCAGUCGGACACAGAAGCGUUUAUGGAGCUGUAGAAGAUGCCUUUGUAGCUUGCUGGCCUGAAGAAAACAGCAGUAGCAUAAUGAGCCCUACUCAGUUCAUCCCAUUCUAGUUUUCCUUCCCAGCACACACAACCAGAUAAAGAGCAGGGAUGCUAGUUAGAGAUAGCAAGUGAAUGCUUCUAUAAGUAUCAGGCAUAUAAUGUUCUUUAAUGUCUCCCAGUCAACUGGUAAACUGCUUGUGUCUGCAAAAAAU